AGAGUUUGAUCCUGGCUCAGGACGAACGCUGACGGUGUGCUUUAGGCAUGCAAGUCGAACGAGAAAGCCCUUCGGGGUGAGUAAAGUGGCGAACGGGUGAGUAACACGUGGGCAACCUGCCCCUCGCAGGGGGACAACCGGAGGAAACUCCGGCUAAUACCCCGUACGUUCCCAGGGUCGCAUGGCCUUGGGAGGAAAGGUAGCUUCGGCCAUCCGGCGAGGGAUGGGCCCGCGGUGCAUUAGCUAGUUGGUGGGGUAACGGCUCACCAAGGCGACGAUGCAUAGCUGGUCUGAGAGGGCGACCGGCCACACUGGGACUGAGACACGGCCCAGACUCCUACGGGAGGCAGCAGUGGGGAAUAUUGCACAAUGGGCGAAAGCCUGAUGCAGCGACGCCGCGUGAGGGAUGACGGCCUUCGGGUUGUAAACCUCUUUCAGCAGGGAAGAAGCGAAAGUGACGGUACCUGCAGAAGAAGGUCCGGCCAACUACGUGCCAGCAGCCGCGGUAAUACGUAGGGACCGAGCGUUGUCCGGAUUCAUUGGGCGUAAAGAGCUCGUAGGCGGCCACUCAAGUCGAAUGUGAAACCUCGAGGCUCAACCUCGAGCCUGCAUUCGAUACUGGGCGGCUAGAGUCUGGUAGGGGGAUCUGGAAUUCCUGGUGUAGCGGUGGAAUGCGCAGAUAUCAGGAGGAACACCGGUGGCGAAGGCGGGAUCCUGGGCCAGUACUGACGCUGAGGAGCGAAAGCGUGGGGAGCAAACAGGAUUAGAUACCCUGGUAGUCCACGCCGUAAACGAUGGGCGCUAGGUGUGGGAGGUCAUCGACUCCUUCCGUGCCGCAGCUAACGCAUUAAGCGCCCCGCCUGGGGAGUACGGCCGCAAGGCUAAAACUCAAAGGAAUUGACGG
RNAcentral lists this ribosomal RNA (904 nucleotides) under uncultured bacterium. RNAcentral describes it as "bacterial SSU rRNA". It matches the Rfam family "Bacterial small subunit ribosomal RNA", at positions 8 to 916 of the family's 1533-position model. The record is from RNAcentral.